GCCAGCGUGGCGUAGCGCUUUGAGUGCGGGACUGAGACUCUGGGGGUCCAGGGUUCGAAUCCCACCUCGUGCA
Non-coding RNA from Phrynosoma platyrhinos (Desert horned lizard), 73 nucleotides. The record is from the annotation of a GenBank genome assembly. Lineage: Eukaryota; Metazoa; Chordata; Lepidosauria; Squamata; Phrynosomatidae.